UGGGGAAUUUUGGACAAUGGGGGCAACCCUGAUCCAGCAAUGCCGCGUGAGUGAAGAAGGCCUUCGGGUUGUAAAGCUCUUUUGUCAGGGAAGAAACGGUAGUAGCGAAUAACUAUUACUAAUGACGGUACCUGAAGAAUAAGCACCGGCUAACUACGUGCCAGCAGCCGCGGUAAUACGUAGGGUGCAAGCGUUAAUCGGAAUUACUGGGCGUAAAGCGUGCGCAGGCGGUUGUGUAAGUCAGAUGUGAAAUCCCCGGGCUCAACCUGGGAAUUGCAUUUGAGACUGCACGGCUAGAGUGUGUCAGAGGGGGGUAGAAUUCCACGUGUAGCAGUGAAAUGCGUAGAUAUGUGGAGGAACACCGAUGGCGAAGGCAGCCCCCUGGGUUAACACUGACGCUCAUGCACGAAAGCGUGGGGAGCAAACAGGAUUAGAUACCCGAGUAGUCCCUGAGCGGGCUGGCAAGGCGCAU
This 472-nucleotide ribosomal RNA is filed under the name uncultured bacterium. Its description in RNAcentral is "bacterial SSU rRNA". It matches the Rfam family "Bacterial small subunit ribosomal RNA", at positions 355 to 825 of the family's 1533-position model. The record is from RNAcentral.